RNA transcript from Syngnathus acus (greater pipefish), 3580 nucleotides. It is a transcript of the gene named ADP-ribosylhydrolase like 1, with no coding region annotated. NCBI's taxonomy places the organism in Eukaryota, Metazoa, Chordata, Actinopteri, Syngnathiformes, Syngnathidae. The transcript has 8 exons. The record is from RefSeq and is a predicted model, not a curated record.
AUGUCUGAACGAGCGUGUUUCGGAUUAGAGUCAUCUUCGGUGAAUGACUGGCUGGACUGAGGAUGAUGUUACACGCUUACUCUCCUCCUCCCAAUGGGUGGAGUGGAAUCCCAACAUGGUCCAGCACCAGCUGACCACCAGCACAUUAGCAUCUCUUAAAGUGCUUCCAUCGGUACCCCAAACCGAGCCACUCCAGCUAUACAGCCGAGGGGAUUGCUUGCCUUUUUAGGAGACGCGUCGUUCCCGUCGACAUGCCAUCAAGACGCUGCGGAGGAUAACCACGCUUGAAACGUAACGUGCAUUUUUACACACACAACAGGACGGACAACCGGUGAAACGCUAGAGGACUGCGGCGGUAACCGGAACCUCCUGAAGAAACAAUGCCAAUAGAACUGUUGGCACUGGAUAACAUUUGGAAGGGAAUUUUAGAGUGAUCAAGUCCUCUGGGGUAGGAGAGAGAAGUCAUCAGAAGUUGUAAUCAUGGAGAAAUUCAAGGCAGGUAUGGUUCUGGGUGGUGUUGGCGAUGCCUUGGGCUUCAGGAAAGGCCACUGGGAAAGUUGCACGUCAGGCAGAAAGAUCCAAGAAGAACUGGUGUCCCUUGGCGGUCUGGCAGGACUUAAGCUGGACCCCGAUAACUGGCCGCUGAGUGAUGCCGCCUUAAUGCACAUGACCACUGCAGAGGCACUUAUAACAGAUUACUGGUGCCUGGAGGACCUCUACCGAGAGCUGGUGCGUCUCUACGUGGAAGCCAUGGUGUCUCUCCAGGGUAAAAACCCCGACCCGGUUACGGUGGAAGGCUGUGUACACCUCAAGCCUCACAAUUUUCUCCUCGCUUGGCAUACACCCUUCAAUGAAAAAGGAUCCGGAUUCGGAGGUGCCGCUAAGGCCAUGUGCGUGGGGAUGAGAUACUGGCAACCGGAUCGACUAGACAGCCUGGUAGAGGUCAGCAUUGAAACUGGAAGGAUGACCCACAAUCAUCCCACAGGUUUCCUGGGCUCCCUGGCAACGGCAUUGUUUGCCUCCUAUGCAAUCCAGGGAAAGCCGCUUGGGACUUGGGGACGUGAGCUCAUGAAAGUCAUCCCUCGUGCCGAGGAGUAUUGCAGGAAGACCAUACGCCACAUGGCGGAGUAUCAGGAAAACUGGUUCUACUUUGAGGCAAAGUGGCAGUUUUACUUGGAAGAACGGCAACUCGAAAAAGAAGGGCAGAAUAAGCCCUUCUUGGACAGUCGCUAUGAUGCUGAAGAGACGGAUAAGAUUUACAAGCGAUGGAGUUCAGAAGGCCGUGCGGGGCGGAGGGGUCACGAUGCCCCGAUGAUUGCCUACGACGCCCUUCUGAUUGCAGGAAACGACUGGGCCGAACUAUGCAAGCGAGCCAUGUUCCACGGAGGGGAGAGUGAAGCCACGGGCCUAAUCGCCGGUUGCCUCUAUGGUCUAAUGUACGGUCUAAGCCAAGUUCCCUCCAACCUGUAUCAGGAUUUAGACAAAAGGGAGCGUUUGGAAGAACUGGGAGAGGCGCUUUACAAAGCCGCAUCAGCCGAGAAGUGCAUAGACAAGUAAAAGUGCACUUCACAAGCCCAACAGGAACCGCACGAGCCAAAGAACCCGCACUGUCCCUUGUCCUGGCAGAUUCUUUCCAAUAGCAGAUUCUCAGAAAGCCCGUAUCAGCCCUGAUGCCCGUAUGUUGAGGAAGUUACUAAGAGACCGCGACUGUCGUCCAGUGCUCCGAGGGAUUUUGGAGACUCUCCUGCAUUACCUGACACAGGACUUACCCGACAGGAUCGCCGGAACCCAACAUGGGGAUGAGAUGAUUUCCACAGCUUCAUUCCAAAGGAAGAGAGAUCGAACUGUUUCGAAAAUCCAGAAGUCUGAACUUAAAACAAAUCUCAUGCCAGCGAUUCAGUCCCUUGAUAAAACGACCGAAAGAGAGACUAAGAUCCCUGAACAACCAAAAGAGAUGUUUGAGGGAUUCUGUGGAGGAGGAGAUGAACGAGAAGAAGACCCGACACCCCGGCGUCUUACCACAUUCCGGUUGCUUCAGUCCAAAUUCGCACGGUCAACUCCCAAACCCCCUCUGACAAACAGAAGGGAGGUAGGAACUCUGUUAUCCAGAGGAGGAAUGGCCGGUGCUCAAAAUCACAGACACGAUGGUGGAUAUGCGAUGAAGAAAAAUAGCAAAGAAAGAAAAGAGCACAAACUGAAGCCAGGUGGCAUGGUGAAAGAUAUCGUGGCCAAGUUUGCCUUGACUGAGCAGAAGGAAAUGGGACUGAAGACCCCAAAGCGCUCCAUAAGCUCAAGACAAAUUGGAAAAGGGAUCCUCCUGUCCUCCUUGAUGGAGAAGUUUGAGAACCUGGCCAUUGUGUCCAAGGGGAUAAAGUCAACAUGUUCAAGCCAGAGACUUCCCGCAACUGUCAGUGUCAAACAACGGGUUGCUCGCAGUGAACGAGCAAGUGAUCGCAAACAAAUCCAGAGCAAAAAAGUGACAUUGGAAAGUACGACGGAGUGCUUGGAAGCAAAUCAAAGCGACCAAGGGCAACGAAACCCCGAGGAGAAAUCACAGCUGAAUUUGAAAGCAGAGCAAAUUCCGCCACUUUCGGAUGAGAGUUUUGAUUUAUUACGCAACAUCAGAGAUGAUGCACAAUAUUGUCAUUCUGGAAAAACACAAGAAAAUAUUUGCACCACAGCAAAGCUGAACUAUGCUUGUCAGGAGAUAAUCCAAUUUAGAUGUGCGUCACAGUGGUGCCUUCCCGCGCCGUACAAGCUUGUCCUGCACAGUGAUGCUCCACUAAAGUACCACAUGACAUCUGUCCUUCCAUGCUCCAUCCUAUGGUCCACAUAUGAGGUUUCUUCUCCUAAACAAUACUUUAAGAAAUAUCAACUCGAGGCUUCAGCUUGUCCUGAUGUGAAAAAAAUGGAAAAAGGCACAAAUUGUGGGAUAGUCUCCAUUGGUACAGACUAUAGCUUGAUGGGGAAAGAACCGAUGGAUGAGCCAAAUCGACACCGACGUGUAGCUAGUCAAAGAGGACUGCCUCGUUACACCAUCCCACACAUUUGUAGAUCUGAUACUCAACACGGUGAUGGUCAACACUCGGAGACUGUUUUGGCUCAAAGGCUGACUUCAGCCUCAAACUGCUCCACUCAUGUUUUUGAAGGCGGAUUGAGAACAAGGGCAACUUUACAGGAGUCAUGUCCUCUUGACCUCAAGGUACACACAGCAGAAAAUAAAACUGAAAGAACAUUUCAAGUAAAGCACGAGGAGGAGGAGGAUGUAAAGAGGGACACAAUAACGGCAGAAUUGAGCUCUUUGGAAUUACCAGACAGUUGCCAAACAUCUGAGGCCGCUCAAACUCAAUUACCCGUGAGACCAAAGUAUACGUCAAUAAACUACGGUGACCCGUCCGUCAAACAAACAUAUAAACCCAAGCUUAUACGCUUUACCGACACAUUUACUUUCUAGAUUGCUUAGAAUUAGAAACAUUCAAGUAGAGCAUUUUUAAUUGAAUACAUGUAUUGUGAUGAAUUGGGGGAGAGGCAACUGAAUCAGACCAUAUACAUUCAAAUAAAAACUAAAUAUACAAAAUCA